Felis catus (domestic cat) is the source of this 518-nucleotide long non-coding RNA. RefSeq lists it as uncharacterized. The record is from RefSeq and is a predicted model, not a curated record. The transcript is spliced from 2 exons. Lineage: Eukaryota; Metazoa; Chordata; Mammalia; Carnivora; Felidae.
GAUUUGCGAUCAGGUGCUCUGACCCAAAGCCUUCCUAACACAACUCAUACACUGUUUCCUUAGCUGCUGUCUAAAGUGACUUGGAGUCAAAACUGGUCAACAAGAUUGGAACUAUUCGCAACUGAAAUACCUACUAAUGCUUUCUGGCUUUAAAAGAACUGCACAGCAUUGGCUACAUAUGUUUACCAUUAUCCACAGAACUGUCAGACCCUUUAUUCCAGUGGAGGCAUGCAUGGAAAUAGGCCAGAAUGCGAAGGAACACAGUUCCGGUAGUGAAAUUAGCAACUGGACAACAUUCCCAGGGAAGUGGCUGAGUUCAGUUCUGGCAAAAAUCCCAUGGCUGCUGGUACAAAAAACAAACAAAAAAAAAAAAAAAAGAAGAAGAAGAAAAGAAGAAGCAGCAGCAGAAGGAAAAAAAAAGAAAAGAAAGAAAAAGAAAAGAAAAAGAAAAACUGUGGCUAAAAUUUAUCCCAGGGAACAAAAGGGAGGCGAAAAUAUAUAAUUUGCACAGCCUAUCA